UAAUAAUAAUGAUAAUCAUGAUGAUGAUGAUGAUGAUGAUGAUGAUCAUCAUCAUCAUCAUCAUACAUGACUUCAUGUG
This 79-nucleotide microRNA precursor is filed under the name Leersia perrieri. RNAcentral describes it as "pre miRNA mir-598". Lineage: Eukaryota; Viridiplantae; Streptophyta; Magnoliopsida; Poales; Poaceae. The record is from RNAcentral.